RNAcentral lists this small nuclear RNA (104 nucleotides) under Sciurus vulgaris (Eurasian red squirrel). The record is from RNAcentral. Lineage: Eukaryota; Metazoa; Chordata; Mammalia; Rodentia; Sciuridae.
GUGCUCACUUAGGCAGCACAUAUACUAAAAUUGGAACAACACAGAGAUUAGGAUGGCCUCUGUGCAAGGGUGACACACAAAUUCAAAAAGCGUUAUUUUUACUA